GUGAGGGUGUCUCUGGAAGAUACUUGAAUCACAGGACUGAAUAAGGAAGAGCUGCCCUCAGCGUGGCCGGGCAACAUCUAAUCGGCUGAAAGCUUGGAUCGAAUGAAAAGGCAGAGGAAAGGUGAAUUUUCUUUUUAUCCUGGAGCUGGACACCCUGUUUCUCCUGCCUGUGGACAUCAGAAUUCUAGGCUCUGUGGCAUUUCAACUGUAAAACUUGCACUAGUAGCCAGCUGGUUUCUCAAGUCGUUGGCUUCAAAACUGAGAAGUACAGCAUUCUCUUCCCAGGUUCUGAAGACCUCAAAUGGACUGAGCCACACUACCAGCAUCCAGCAUCCAUGGUUCUCCAGUCUGCAGAUGGCCUAUUAUGGGACUUUUCAGUCUUCAUAAUUAUAUGAGAGAAAGAAAAUGAAAAGGAUUUGUAAACUAUAAAUCUCUAAACAGAUGGGAGGAAAGGAAUUGAUGAAACAAUAAAUUUAUUGAUGAAACAAUAAAAAUAAACAUAAAGAACCAAAGAGAUUCUGAAGGAAGGAUUCUGAUCUGCUACAGUAAAUAGAGCAUGAAAAUCAG
RNAcentral lists this long non-coding RNA (567 nucleotides) under Homo sapiens (human). Its description in RNAcentral is "HSALNT0312120". The record is from RNAcentral. Lineage: Eukaryota; Metazoa; Chordata; Mammalia; Primates; Hominidae.